Molecule: ribosomal RNA, 429 nt
Filed under: uncultured bacterium
Lineage: Bacteria
Description: bacterial SSU rRNA
Rfam family: Bacterial small subunit ribosomal RNA
Source: RNAcentral
UGGGGAAUCUUGGACAAUGGGGGGAACCCUGAUCCAGCGAUGCCGCGUGGGUGAAGAAGGCCUUCGGGUUGUAAAGCCCUUUAGGUUGGGACGAAGGUGUUUAGCUGAAUAAGUUAGAUGCUUGACGGUACCGACAGAAUAAGCACCGGCUAACUCUGUGCCAGCAGCCGCGGUAAUACAGAGGGUGCGAGCGUUAAUCGGAGUUACUGGGCGUAAAGGGUGCGUAGGCGGUUAUGUAUGAGAGAUGUGAAAGCCCCGGGCUUAACCUGGGAAGAGCAUCUCUAACUGUAUGACUAGAGUCCAUCAGAGGGUGGCGGAAUUUCCGGUGUAGCGGUGAAAUGCGUAGAGAUCGGAAGGAACGCCGGUGGCGAAGGUGGCCACCUGGGGUGAGACUGACGCUGAGGCACGAAAGCGUGGGGAGCGAACAGG